Molecule: ribosomal RNA, 156 nt
Filed under: uncultured Bacillota bacterium
Lineage: Bacteria; Bacillati; Bacillota
Description: uncultured Firmicutes bacterium partial 16S ribosomal RNA
Rfam family: Bacterial small subunit ribosomal RNA
Source: RNAcentral
GGCAAUGGGGGCAACCCUGACCGAGCAACGCCGCGUGAGUGAAGAAGGUUUUCGGAUCGUAAAGCUCUGUUGUAAGUCAAGAACGAGUGUGAGAGUGGAAAGUUCACACUGUGACGGUAGCUUACCAGAAAGGGACGGCUAACUACGUGCCAGCAG